RNAcentral lists this ribosomal RNA (440 nucleotides) under uncultured bacterium. RNAcentral describes it as "partial 16S ribosomal RNA". It matches the Rfam family "Bacterial small subunit ribosomal RNA", at positions 338 to 795 of the family's 1533-position model. The record is from RNAcentral.
CCUACGGGGUGCAGCAGUGGGGAAUAUUGCACAAUGGGGGAAACUCUGAUGCAGCGACGCCGCGUGAAGGAAGAAGUAUUUCGGUAUGUAAACUUCUAUCAGCAGGGAAGAAAAUGACGGUACCUGACUAAGAAGCCCCGGCUAACUACGUGCCAGCAGCCGCGGUAAUACGUAGGGGGCAAGCGUUAUCCGGAUUUACUGGGUGUAAAGGGAGCGUAGAGGGAAGAGCAAGUCUGAUGUGAAAGGCUUGGGCUUAACCCCAGGACUGCAUUGGAAACUGUUUUUCUAGAGUGCAGGAGAGGUAAGCGGAAUUCCUAGUGUAGCGGUGAAAUGCGUAGAUAUUAGGAGGAACACCAGUGGCGAAGGCGGCUUACUGGACGGUAACUGACGUUGAGGCUCGAAAGCGUGGGGAGCAAACAGGAUUAGAUACCCUUGUAGUC